AAAACCGCCGUUAGGCAACCAACCAUACGGGCGUUUCCAUGGCGACCUUACCCAGGUGGACAACCACUCUGGUUCACCCCUAUAAUAUGUAUUCUGUUCGUCCUCGCAGUGAACACCCCCACUCGGUCCGAUUCAUGGCCACCUGUCCUGCCGACCUAUUUGUGUCGCUCCGGAUUGUUUCCCCAAAAAUGUCAUUCGAAUGAUUGAAAUGUCAACCCUUCUCGAUGUGUUAGCAUCAAGCCAAAAAAUGAUUUUCUGGUGAAAUCGAGUGAGGAUAUCGCCGAUAUUUUUUGCGGCCGGGCUGGAAAAUGUCCAUCGUUUGCGAGGAAAUAUUUGACGAGCAGAGUCAUCCAACUAUAGAAGAAAUAAAAGAUUAUGCAGCCAAAAUUGGAAUAGAUCCAAAUGAAGAGCCACAAUUGCUACCUAUUGCUGCAGAAGGGUUGAUGAAAGCUUUGCCAGCAGCUUGGAAACCUUGCUUCGACGAAAAAUCCAAAUCCUACUAUUACUACAACCGCGACACGGGUAAGACGCAAUGGGAACACCCUCUGGACAACAUUUACAGAAACAUAGUGAAGAAGGCAAGAACAGACAGUCAAUCGAUAAGCCUAGGGGAACCCACCGACGAUGCCACCUUCGCCAGGGACGAUCUCCCAAGUCUCGAGGAACCUCCCAUCGCCAACGUCAACUUCUUGUCCAAGAAGCUGGAACCGCUCAUGCCUACGGCGAAGCUGAGGGACAAGUCUUCGUCGCCUCGCAGACUCCGCCGGUCUCCAACCGUUGACCUGAACGUCAGUCCGAGGCACGAGUCGAAGUUUGUCAAGCAGAAGUCCGAGGAUCACAUCUUGAUCAACAAAAAAUUUUCCGUCAACGCCGGCAGCAGCCUGACCGAUGAUCCCUUCGAGAAACAUCCCCGGAUGUUCGACACUAGACCGGAACUGAAGAUCACCGGUGGCGGUUCCAUGUUCCUGAAGACGAACACGAAAAAAAUCGAGGUUGCUCCUGAUGGUAAUAAAGCGGUCUUCAAUCAGAAGAUCGCUGAUAAGAUGAGCAUUCUGAAAGAACGUCAAUACCAUGAUGGCACGAAAGAUGUCAGUUCCGAUUAUGAAGCAAGGGGUGAUGAAGUUACCAGCAGUGAUAAAAGCAAAGAAACUGACGAGAAAGAUCCAAAGCAAGAGGAAGAUGACAAGAAGAGUGUUCGUUUCACCAUACAGAAGGAAGAACAGCAAUAUCAUCUAUCAGACAGCAGUGAAGAAGAACCAGAUUCUCCGAAGAAGCAGGUCAUCCAUCCAGUUCUGCAAAUUUCUCUGGCUCCUCAAAAUAAGUCUCCCUUCACCAUGGCAAUGGAGACCGAAGUUCUCGACAAACCUCCAUUGCCCAGAAAGAACCUCAAAGUGAUCAAGCCAAAUCCUGGCGAUUUCAUAAAACCAACCCUCAUGAGAACUAGGAGUUCUGAAUCCGAAGACGAGUCUGGGAGUGGUAGAGUGAAGAAAUUAACAAUGGAAGAGAUCGAUUUGGAUAGUGAAAAUUCAAUGGACAGUCCAAAUGAGAAACUAACUAAGAAAACGAUGCUGAUGGAGAGGAAAAUGGAAAAGAGGGUGGAAAAACUGAAGGAUAGAAUGUGGAGGUCCAAGAACAAGGAGAUAGUGGAAUUCCAAGAAAACCUAGAGGAUUCGCAAAGGGAAGAACUGAAACGGAUUAUGACCAGAGAAAACGAAUCGCACGAGUUGAAAAUAGCAGAAGAACUACAAAAUUUCAGGAUCGAGGCUGAUAAAAAACAUGAAGCAAUAUUGAACGAAGAAAAGAAGAAACUUGAUGAUAAGUUGGAAAGGUUGAAACUUGAGCUCUCGACAAAAUACGAUAAGGAGGAAAAAGAAAUGAAGGAACACUUCGUGAAGAAGAAAGAGGAACUAGAGAAAUAUUAUGAGGAAAAAUUGGUCGAGAUUGAGAAUAAUUUGGCCGAAAAUAUGGAGAGAAAUAGGGAUGAGAUCAUUCUGUCGCAUAAUUCUAUGUUGGAACAAUUGAAAGAGAAUAACUCGAUUAUAUGCGAGCAAUUGAAAAAGGAAUUCAAGAAAGAGGAGGACCAAAUUCGUUCUGACCAUCGAAACAAAAUAGAGGAAUUGAGAAAUAUAUUCGCUAAGGAAAUCGAAACAGAGAAGACUGCAGACAAAUGUGAUCAAGACGAAAAGUAUAUUAAGAUGUUGAGUGAAAAGAAAUUAUUAGAGGAUAAGUAUAAAUGUUUAAAGGAGAAAUACAUGAGACUUAAGACGGACGUGAGGACGACAAUAGAAAAGAGGAACAAGAAGAAAGAGGAAGGUAGAAGUGGUGCUACAACAACGGGAUCCGAGACAGAAAAGAGUUUUUCCAUUCACAAAGAAAGAACAUCACUCACUUCUUCCCAAAAAAACAUGGAGAAACCACCCACCCCAAAACCUCCCAAAACCAAGACUGAGAACCGCGGACCAAAAGAAACAAGUCCAAACGACGUGGACACAUCGUUGAGCGAUAGGAGCGAGGACAAAAAUAAGCUAGAUUACGACACUUCGGACAACAGCGUGAGUCACGGAAGGAGCCGCAAAAAGCUGUUCUCCAGAAUGAGGUCCAACUCGACCAACAGAAUGCGGAGCUCCAAGAACACGGAAAGGUCCUGUUCUCCAGUCGAGAACCUGAGGAGGCAGCUGCAAAAGCUGGAAGAUCUGGAGGAUCAAUUCCCCCAGAACCAGCAGUCGGACACGUACCACCUGAGGUAUCCGUUUUCAGACUCGCACAAAUUCGAGGGUAGUUCCGAGCUAGAGUUUUUCAGACAUAGGAUACACCUAGAGCGGGAUUCGAUCAAGAGGGCGAAGGAGAGCUUGAGGAGCCAGAAGACGAUUUUUCAGCAGAGACAGAAGGAGCUCAAGCUGAAGCAUGGUACGAUGGCGCGGCACACGUACCAGCAACUAUGUCAGGAAGAGAAAGAUCUAACCGACAUGGAAGUAUCUCUACAUCGCACAAGGAGUCUUCUUGGUGAAAAAGUUAUCAGACUUCGUCAUCUCGAGCAAACCUUGCAGAGGGCGACAGUGACCAACGAUACGAAAUACGACGAUGCAACACUCAGCGAUUUGUCUUCCCACAGUGCCAGUUCAGGAAUAAGUUCUACCGAAUUCCUCGGGGGUGAUAUGCAUUUUUCCAGAGCCUUACCCAGGGAGGAUAGUAUGCAAGAACCCUCGGAAAUAAUCCAAAGUUUGGAGAAUCUGAAUUCGGAGAUAAGGGAGAUUUGGGAGGUGUUGCGCAAACAACAGCAGCAAUCUGGCAGUAUUGCAGCUGUCAUUCCCCCUUUCGUCUACCCAGACUUGGGAUGGCCCGUACUGGCCAGCACUGCAGCUAAUCUUCCAGCACCGCCAUCGAUACCCACCCUAGCGGAUCGGCUCAAUUCCUACAGGCAGCAUUUGGCAUUGGCGAACGCACAGAGCACGGUGGUAACGCACGCUGCUAAUCAGGGAGCCACAACUUCCUUGGUUGAACGCACACGCAACCUGAGGCACUGGUUGAAACAGGCCGGCAUAGAGAAUAACGGUGAGACAAGCAAUCCGCAGGCGGAUCUGUGAAGCUCUACUCUAAACCACCCCAUAUAUGUAUAUUAUAGUCACAAUUUUUAGGCGAAACCUCUUAAAAGGUUCUGUUUCGAUCUUUCUCUGUAUCUAGUUUAGAUGAUUCGUCAAGCUCCGAACCGAAAAGCUUUUGUGGUUUAACUUGGAAGAAACGUUCACAAUUCGUAGUAGAAACGAAUAAAGGUACUCCUUGUCAAAUCUCAAUUUCGAACUUGAGAUAUUCUCCAAGAAGACGACCACUUCAGGUAUUCACAUAUAGAUGACAUGAGUGCAUUGAAAUAGCUAUACGGAUUAUAAUAAAACUUGAGCAAUUUUCGACAGACAUAUUUAUGAAAUGAACAUUAAAGUAAACGACACAAAGGUGCUGCAUUGUGUUCUUGACAUUCGGAGCCUUCUUAUUCGAGACAAUUGUUCUGACGAUGUUUUCUGCAAUACAUUUUGCCCAGCCCAGAAGGUGCAUGAUUUCUACCUAAUAUCUUGAUAACUCAUGAGUAACAGUAGUGAAACCAGUAGUUAACAACUUUGCAAUUGGUUAGAAGGCAACUCACCAGAGACUACCAGUUUGCAGAGAUUUAAUGCUGUUGAACGAAAUGCUUUUAUCUAAACCGAAAAGUUUCUCGAAAAACUCCAGACGACUUUUCAUAUGUGAAAUACUUACAUAGAGCUAAUGUUGGCAGAUGUUCCUAGACAAAAUGAGAAUAUCUUGGUUAAUUUUAUGACGAUUCCCAACCUUUUUCUCCCUUAUAUUCUAAAUUAUUCAUCACUUUUUCAGUUUCUCCAUGAAACAUAAGAAAAACUUCAUGAAUAUCUUUGAGUCGAUAAUAUUAACCCUUCUCAAGAUUUCCAACGCAACAUUUAUUUUUUCUUUCAAUAUUCUGCGCUCAGAAUAUUUGAAGUUGUUCCAUUUCAUAUUAUUUUUGGUAAAAUAUUGUACAUCAGUAGUUGUCUUGUGCCGUUUCUAGACCACCGUUGUGAUCUCAAAGUCACAGAACAGAAUGUGGGAUUUCGGAUUGAACCGGAGGUAGUUUGGAUUAAGGAAGUUUACUUUUCUUUUUAUUUUAGCUACCUUCCCAUCUAUCCAGGAAAAGUCGUAUGAAAUAUGAUGAAGCAAAAAAAUAUUAUAUAAUAUAAUAUGGUAACGAGUUUUGUGACUGGCGUUUGUAAUAGCGAAGUAUUGAGUAAAUUGAGAUAAUCACUGAACGAUUUUACAAGAAUUGAGAACCAAAAUUCACCUUGAGAGACUCCAACUAAGUAUGAAAACAGCAAUAACAAUAAUAAUCAGGUGUCGAAAACCCGGAUAGAUUGUGAUGAAUCCAUUUUCGAAUUAUACUUCCUAUAGAUUGGUCGAAUAUAUAAGAGUAAUUCGACCUAAAUUAGUAUAAUAUCUCUUGAAUAAUUUUGAGAGUUUUUCUUAGGGUAUGUUAUAACGAUCUGUCUUAUACUAAUUAUAUUUCCCUAUGCCUUAACACGUAAGAACUGAACGUAAUUUCAUUGUGAUAUUAUUUGUACACAGAAAACUUUUGUACUGUUGAUUGCAAACUGUUCUAAUAUUUUCCUAAUGAAUGAGAAUUAUUGUCGAGUACCUAUCUGUUGAAUUUGUGAAGCCAAAGUAUCGUAAAGGUAAUUCAAGAUAAUAAAUAUAUUUCUGAGAAUUUGUUGAAGAAAAAAAUGCCGAAUGAAAAGUGGAAAUAUUGAUAUAUUAUAUCUCUGUUUUAUAUGAUUUUUUAAUUUGUCUUGAAAAUCACGUCCUAAUGAAUCUGAAUUUCAUCUUCUAUAUCUGAAGUAUAGGAUAUUCAUUCCAAAUAAUGUACCAAAAAGUGUAGAAAAGUAUACGUUUAAAUGAAUAUAUCGAUUGAGAAACGGAAGAACAUGUUACAGAACUGAUUUAACAUUUAUGUUAUGAACCUUUUAUAUGUGCACUCCAAAUAGAAUAUGUAAGUGGAUGUGAUAUUCCGAAACAACUAUAAAAUGUUGAACUGAAGAUUUAUCCUGUUGAUAACAAUUAUAGAAAUAUGAGGCCAAAAAUGAUGUAUACACCCAUUAUAAUUUGAAGCUUAUGAUGACAUAUUACAAUUCCAUUUUGUGAGAUUGAAUAAUAAAUCUAUUGGCAAAA
This is an RNA transcript of Coccinella septempunctata (seven-spotted ladybird), 5700 nucleotides long. It is a transcript of the gene named cilia- and flagella-associated protein 45, with no coding region annotated. NCBI's taxonomy places the organism in Eukaryota, Metazoa, Arthropoda, Insecta, Coleoptera, Coccinellidae. The record is from RefSeq and is a predicted model, not a curated record. The transcript has 9 exons.